UCGCCCUUAGAGUUUGAUCCUGGCUCAGGAUGAACGCUAGCUACAGGCUUAACACAUGCAAGUCGAGGGGCAGCGGGAUUGAAGCUUGCUUCAAUUGCCGGCGACCGGCGCACGGGUGAGUAACGCGUAUCCAACCUUCCGUACACUCAGGGAUAGCCUUUCGAAAGAAAGAUUAAUACCUGAUGGUAUGAUGAGAUUGCAUGAUAGCAUCAUUAAAGAUUUAUCGGUGUACGAUGGGGAUGCGUUCCAUUAGGUAGUAGGCGGGGUAACGGCCCACCCAGCCAACGAUGGAUAGGGGUUCUGAGAGGAAGGUCCCCCACAUUGGAACUGAGACACGGUCCAAACUCCUACGGGAGGCAGCAGUGAGGAAUAUUGGUCAAUGGACGAGAGUCUGAACCAGCCAAGUAGCGUGAAGGAUGAAGGUCCUACGGAUUGUAAACUUCUUUUAUAAGGGAAUAAACCCUCCCACGUGUGGGAGCUUGUAUGUACCUUAUGAAUAAGCAUCGGCUAACUCCGUGCCAGCAGCCGCGGUAAUACGGAGGAUGCGAGCGUUAUCCGGAUUUAUUGGGUUUAAAGGGAGCGCAGACGGGUCGUUAAGUCAGCUGUGAAAGUUUGGGGCUCAACCUUAAAAUUGCAGUUGAUACUGGCGUCCUUGAGUGCGGUUGAGGUGUGCGGAAUUCGUGGUGUAGCGGUGAAAUGCUUAGAUAUCACGAAGAACUCCGAUUGCGAAGGCAGCACACUAAUCCGUAACUGACGUUCAUGCUCGAAAGUGUGGGUAUCAAACAGGAUUAGAUACCCUGGUAGUCCACACGGUAAACGAUGGAUACUCGCUGUUGGCGAUAUACUGUCAGCGGCUUAGCGAAAGCGUUAAGUAUCCCACCUGGGGAGUACGCCGGCAACGGUGAAACUCAAAUGAAUUGACGG
Molecule: ribosomal RNA, 924 nt
Filed under: uncultured bacterium
Lineage: Bacteria
Description: bacterial SSU rRNA
Rfam family: Bacterial small subunit ribosomal RNA
Source: RNAcentral